Molecule: long non-coding RNA, 1652 nt
Filed under: Nicotiana benthamiana
Lineage: Eukaryota; Viridiplantae; Streptophyta; Magnoliopsida; Solanales; Solanaceae
Description: long non-coding RNA (NBEN_LNC042624)
Source: RNAcentral
CUGUUUUGCCCUCCAGAGGCUCCUCUCUUUCUGCUGGCUAUGAUCUGUCCAGGUUUCCCUCUUUUUCUUUUUGACGAAUUCUAUGUACCUAUCUCACAAAAUUAGAUCUUUCCCUCAGCUUUUGGAAAUUUUUUCUGUAAUUUAUUUUUAUUUAUUCCAUUAAUUUCCUAUUUCUGGUUCAGUGCAACGAAGACUAAAGUGCCUGCUAGGGGAAAGGCUUUAGUGCCCACAGAUCUUAGUAUUGCCGUUCCUGAAGGAACCUAUGCCCGUAUAGGUAUAUUCUUUUUUUUUUCCACUUCCUCAUGCCAAAAACACUUGAAUAGAAAAUGGAAAAGACGAUUGUUGCAAGUUCCAAAAGAAGAUUCUACUUUAGAUAUGCACCUUAAAGAGUUCACAAGUUUGCUAAAUGAAUAAAUAAAUAUAUUAGCCGGUAGAUAGUUAUUUUCAAGUUUUAAAAUAUUACACUGUGUAAGGAAUUUUUACACCAUAGGUCAUCUUUACUUAUUGUAGUAACUUGUUUUAUUUUCAAGAGUAUAAAUCCUACAAGGAGCUUACCUUUAAGUAUCUUUUUGGGUUAGGGUUGUAUUUAACAUUCUUGGAGCUAGAGUGAUGGAGCGGGUUUGACCGAAACCAAUAGCUUUGGUUUGAACCUUGUAUUUGUCUUAAAAAUUUAUUGAACAUAUGCAUAUUUUUAAUUUGGAACCCAGUAAAAAUCCCAAACCCAUAAGCUUUAAAUUCUUACUUCGCCUAUGUGUGAGAGCUAUAUGAUUUAGUUUGAUAAUCCAUAAGUUGUAUUAUUUUAAUCAGGGUAAUGUUCUCGGUUUUUAUUCUAGGCUGGAUAUUUUGCUAAAUUUUCUAGAAGAUUAGGGGCUUAUUAGUUUGUGAUUUUUUCUUUUAUAGCUCCAAGAUCAGGAUUGACAUGGAAGCAUUCAAUAGAUGUUGGGGCAGGUGUGAUUGAUGCAGACUAUAGGGGUCCAGUUGGGGUUAUUCUUUUCAACCAUUCUGAUGUUGAUUUUGAAGUGAAAAUUGGUGACAGAAUAGCUCAAUUGAUCAUAGAGAAAAUCAUAGUGCCGGAUGUCGAGGAGGUUGAUGAUCUGGACUCGACAGUUAGGGGCUCUGGAGGCUUUGGAUCAACAGGAGUUUGAAAUCUAUGGCUUGAAUUAGAACUUUUGAUGCGUAAAUUUUUGUUGCUUAGUACGUUUAGUCAUGAUAAUUUGGUCACGUUUUUAGAGAUUGGAACAUUUUGGAAACUGCAAGAUGAAGUAAGUUUUUAUGCUUCGGCAAUGUUGAGCACUGUGUUUUUAUUUGAUGAUUGUUUUAUUCAUGAUGCGAAUUCAUGUUUCUUGUAGCAAGUGUGUGACCUAGCAUUCAUUGAAGUGAUCAAAAUUCAAUACCUGUGUUAGUUAGAGAUAGUAGUUACCUCUGUUGUUUGAGAAUGAUUGAUAACCAUGUAAAUUCAACCUGAUGGUGAUGGCAAAGGUCCUAAUGCUGAAUGAUUCAUUCUUAUUUCUUUGGCAUCUCAGUAUAUAGAUGUAAUGCCAUUUGUCUGGCGGCUCAGGCAGAUUGCAGACAAGUGACAAAAUGCUAAGAUGGUUGGGGAUAAAGUAUACUUGUACUACUUGAAUAUUCAGUUUUAUCUGGAAAGUUGGGAG